Elaeis guineensis (African oil palm) is the source of this 512-nucleotide non-coding RNA. NCBI's taxonomy places the organism in Eukaryota, Viridiplantae, Streptophyta, Magnoliopsida, Arecales, Arecaceae. The record is from RefSeq and is a predicted model, not a curated record.
GCGCAAACACGCGCGCGCACGCGCGCGCAAAGGGAUGCAGGAUGGCGGUUGGGAACCAGGUGAGUUGCCAUGCUACCCUACGAAAUGCGACGCUCUUCUCAUCUCCAUUCCUACCGCCACCAUCUCGAUGGUUUUGAAUGUUGCAACUUGCAAGCAAGGAUUGGCAUGCCGGCCAUGCACUUCAUGCCAGCCAGCAGGUUCUGUAUCAACAGGGAACCAACUCCAGGCAAUUGCAUGAUUUUGAACCCCGUGGCAUGGAGCAGUAUCAUUAGGCUUGGUUGCAAAACAUCAGUAGCAAGUAUCUCCUUCAAAUAGUUCAUGAACAAGAAAGACAUUGUGACAAUUUUGUGAACUCAUCAAUCUUUACAAAAGAAUCAAAUAAUCAGUACAAAUACAAGAUUAUUUGCUUCAACCAGCCAAAGAGCACUUCUGAAGCCUAUAUAAAUUGCAAAACCAAGAUCACUCUGUUUCUUCUUAAUAUCCACUUCCCCAAACCCAUACCAGCACUCCUG